RNAcentral lists this ribosomal RNA (579 nucleotides) under uncultured beta proteobacterium. RNAcentral's name for it is "bacterial SSU rRNA". It matches the Rfam family "Bacterial small subunit ribosomal RNA", at positions 338 to 909 of the family's 1533-position model. Lineage: Bacteria; Pseudomonadati; Pseudomonadota; Betaproteobacteria. The record is from RNAcentral.
CCUACGGGAGGCAGCAGUGGGGAAUUUUGGACAAUGGGCCGAAAGCCUGAUCCAGCCAUGCCGCGUGAGUGAAGAAGGCCUUCGGGUUGUAAAGCUCUUUUAGUCGGAAAGAAAGAGUUGCAAUAAAUAAUUAUGAUUUAUGACGGUACCGACAGAAAAAGCACCGGCUAACUACGUGCCAGCAGCCGCGGUAAUACGUAGGGUGCGAGCGUUAAUCGGAAUUACUGGGCGUAAAGGGUGCGCAGCGGUCUUGCAAGUCAGAUGUGAAAGCCCGGGCUUAACCUGGGAAUUGCGUUUGAAACUACAAGGCUAGAGUGCAGCAGAGGGGAGUGGAAUUCCAUGUGUAGCAGUGAAAUGCGUAGAGAUGUGGAAGAACACCGAUGGCGAAGGCAGCUCCCUGGGUUGACACUGACGCUCAUGCACGAAAGCGUGGGGAGCAAACAGGAUUAGAUACCCUGGUAGUCCACGCCCUAAACGAUGUCAACUAGUUGUCGGAUCUAAUUAAGGAUUUGGUAACGUAGCUAACGCGUGAAGUUGACCGCCUGGGGAGUACGGUCGCAAGAUUAAAACUCAAAGGAA